GGAAAGAUGGCUCAAUGGUUAAGAGCACUGACUUACUAUUCCAGAGGACUUAGGUUCAAAUCCCAGUAUCCA
RNAcentral lists this transfer RNA (72 nucleotides) under Rattus norvegicus (Norway rat). It matches the Rfam family "tRNA". From Rfam's summary of the family: Transfer RNA (tRNA) molecules are approximately 80 nucleotides in length. Their secondary structure includes four short double-helical elements and three loops (D, anti-codon, and T loops). Lineage: Eukaryota; Metazoa; Chordata; Mammalia; Rodentia; Muridae. The record is from Rfam by way of RNAcentral.